CCUACGGGUGGCAGCAGUGAGGAAUAUUGGUCAAUGGGCGCAAGCCUGAACCAGCCAAGUCGCGUGAGGGAUGACGGUCCUAUGGAUUGUAAACCUCUUUUGUCGGGGAGCAAAGCCCGCCACGUGUGGCGGGAAGGAGGGUACCCGAAGAAAAAGCAUCGGCUAACUCCGGGCCAGAAGCCGCGGUAAUACGAAGGAUGGGAGGUUUAGCCGGUUUUAUUGGGUUAAAAGGUUGCGUGGGCGGAGGGUUAGGUCAGCGUUAAAAUGUCGGUGCUCAACACCGGCCUGCCGUUGAAACUGGUCUUCUUGAGUGAGGGAGAAGUAUGCGGAAUGCGUGGUGUAGCGGUGAAAUGCAUAGAUAUCACGCAGAACUCCGAUUGCGAAGGCAGCAUACCGGCGCUCAACUGACGCUGAGGCACGAAAGCGUGGGGAUCGAACAGGAUUAGAUACCCCUGUAGUC
Molecule: ribosomal RNA, 460 nt
Filed under: uncultured bacterium
Lineage: Bacteria
Description: partial 16S ribosomal RNA
Rfam family: Bacterial small subunit ribosomal RNA
Source: RNAcentral